This 253-nucleotide ribosomal RNA is filed under the name uncultured bacterium. RNAcentral describes it as "partial 16S ribosomal RNA". It matches the Rfam family "Bacterial small subunit ribosomal RNA", at positions 524 to 776 of the family's 1533-position model. The record is from RNAcentral.
GACGUAGGGCGCGAGCGUUGUCCGGAUUUAUUGGGCGUAAAGGGCGCGUAGGCGGUGCUGUAAGUCUGUGGUGAAAGCCCGGAGCUCAACUCCGGAACUGCCAUUGAAACUGUUGGACUUGAGGAUGAGAGAGGUGAGUGGAAUUCCCAGUGUAGAGGUGAAAUUCGUAGAUAUCGGGAGGAACACCUGUGGCGAAAGCGGCUCGCUGGACCACAACUGACGCUGAGGCGCGAAAGCUAGGGGAGCAAACAGG